Molecule: ribosomal RNA, 477 nt
Filed under: uncultured bacterium
Lineage: Bacteria
Description: partial 16S ribosomal RNA
Rfam family: Bacterial small subunit ribosomal RNA
Source: RNAcentral
GAUGAACGCUAGCGGCGGGCCUAAUACAUGCAAGUCGAACGGGAAAGGUGGCAACACCUUGAGAGUGGCGUACGGGUGCGUAACGCGUAUACAACCUGCCUGUUACACGGGGAUAGCCUUGCGAAAGCGAGAUUAAUACCCGAUGGUACUAUUGAGCGGCAUCGCUUGGUAGUUAAAGCUGAGGCGGUAACAGAGGGGUAUGCGUCCCAUUAGCUAGUUGGUAGUGUAACGGACUACCAAGGCGACGAUGGGUAGGGGUUCUGAGAGGAUGAUCCCCCACACUGGUACUGAGAUACGGACCAGACUCCUACGGGAGGCAGCAGUAGGGAAUAUUAGGCAAUGGACGGAAGUCUGACCCAGCCACGCCGCGUGCAGGAAGAAGGUCCUCUGGAUUGUAAACUGCUUUUCUUGGGGAAGAAAACCCUUCUGCGGAAGGAAUUGACGGUACUCAAGGAAUAAGCAUCGGCUAACUCCGUG